RNAcentral lists this ribosomal RNA (681 nucleotides) under Calonarius corrosus. RNAcentral's name for it is "eukaryotic LSU rRNA". The stretch from base 301 to 454 matches the Rfam family "5.8S ribosomal RNA". The record is from RNAcentral. Lineage: Eukaryota; Fungi; Basidiomycota; Agaricomycetes; Agaricales; Cortinariaceae.
GAAGUAAAAGUCGUAACAAGGUUUCCGUAGGUGAACCUGCGGAAGGAUCAUUAUUGAAAUAAAUCUGAUAAGUUGCUGCUGGUUCUCUAGGGAGCAAUGUGCACACUUGUCAUCUUUGUAUCUUCACCUGUGCACCUUUUGUAGACCUGAGUAUCUCUCUGAAUUGCUUAUAUUAUAGCAUUCAGGAUUGAGAAUUGACUUCUUGUCUCUUCUUAUAUUUUCAGGUCUAUGUUUCUUCAUAUACCCCAAUGUAUGUUUAUAGAAUGUAAUUAAUGGGCCUUUGUGCCUAUAAACCUUUACAACUUUCAGCAACGGAUCUCUUGGCUCUCGCAUCGAUGAAGAACGCAGCGAAAUGCGAUAAGUAAUGUGAAUUGCAGAAUUCAGUGAAUCAUCGAAUCUUUGAACGCACCUUGCGCUCCUUGGUAUUCCGAGGAGCAUGCCUGUUUGAGUGUCAUUAAUAUUAUCAACCUUUUUGGUUGGAUGUGGGUUUGCUGGCCUCUUGAGGUCAGCUCCCCUUAAAUGCAUUAGCGGACAACAUUUUGCCAACUGUUCAUUGGUGUGAUAAUUAUCUACGCUAUUGACAGGGAAGCAAGGUUCAGCUUCUAACAGUCCAUUGACUUGGACAAGCCUCUUUUAUUAAUGUGACCUCAAAUCAGGUAGGACUACCCGCUGAACUUAAGC